This 247-nucleotide ribosomal RNA is filed under the name uncultured bacterium. Its description in RNAcentral is "partial 16S ribosomal RNA". It matches the Rfam family "Bacterial small subunit ribosomal RNA", at positions 567 to 793 of the family's 1533-position model. The record is from RNAcentral.
GACGCAUGCAGGCGGCCUGUUAAGUCAGAUGUAGAAAGGACCCGGGGACGUUAACCGUACCGGUAAGUUGCUAUUUAGUAAACGUAGGCGAGGCUAGAGUCUUGUAGAGGGGGGUAGGAAUUUCAGGUGUAGCGGUGAAAUGCGUAGAGAUCUGAAGGAAUACCAGUGGCGAAGGCGGCCCCCUGGACAAAGACUGACGCUCAGAUGCGAAAGCGUGGGGAGCAAACAGGAUUAGAUACCCUGGUAG